Molecule: ribosomal RNA, 447 nt
Filed under: uncultured bacterium
Lineage: Bacteria
Description: bacterial SSU rRNA
Rfam family: Bacterial small subunit ribosomal RNA
Source: RNAcentral
GCCAGACUCCUACGGGAGGCAGCAGUGGGGGAUAUUGCACAAUGGGGGAAACCCUGAUGCAGCGACGCCGCGUGGGUGAAGAAGCGCCUCGGCGCGUAAAGCCCUGUCAGCAGGGAAGAAAAUGACGGUACCCAAAGAGGAAGCUCCGGCUAACUACGUGCCAGCAGCCGCGGUAAUACGUAGGGAGCGAGCGUUGUCCGGAAUUACUGGGCGUAAAGCGCUCGUAGGCGGUAUGUCAAGUCAAGGGUGAAAUCCCCGCGCUCAACGUGGGAACUGCCUUUGAAACUGGCAAACUGGAGUGUGUGAGAGGAUAGUGGAAUUCCAGGUGUAGGAGUGAAAUCCGUAGAUAUCUGGAGGAACAUCAGUGGCGAAGGCGACUAUCUGGCACAUAACUGACGCUGAGGAGCGAAAGCGUGGGUAGCAAACAGGAUUAGAUACCCUAGUACC